AGUGAACGCUGGCGGUAGGCCUAACACAUGCAAGUCGAACGGCAGCACAGGAGAGCUUGCUCUCUGGGUGGCGAGUGGCGGACGGGUGAGGAAUACAUCGGAAUCUACUCUGUCGUGGGGGAUAACGUAGGGAAACUUACGCUAAUACCGCAUACGACCUACGGGUGAAAGCAGGGGACCUUCGGGCCUUGCGCGAUUGAAUGAGCCGAUGUCGGAUUAGCUAGUUGGCGGGGUAAAGGCCCACCAAGGCGACGAUCCGUAGCUGGUCUGAGAGGGUGAUCAGCCGCACGGGAACUGUGACACGGGCCAGACUCCUACGGGAGGCAGCAGUGGGGAAUAUUGGAAAAUGGGCGCAAGCCUGAUCGAGCCAUACCGCGUGGGUGAAGAAAGCCUUCGGGUUGUAAAGCCCUUUUGUUGGGAAAGAAAUCCAGCUGGCUAAUACCCGGUUGGGAUGACGGUACCCAAAGAAUAAGCACCGGCUAACUUCGUGCCAGCAGCCGCGGUAA
This 506-nucleotide ribosomal RNA is filed under the name uncultured bacterium. RNAcentral's name for it is "partial 16S ribosomal RNA". It matches the Rfam family "Bacterial small subunit ribosomal RNA", at positions 29 to 523 of the family's 1533-position model. The record is from RNAcentral.